UGUGGUUUUUUGUGUGUUUUGGUUUUUUUUUUAAAUAAUCACUUAGCAAAACUUACAUAAAACUCUCAUAGUCAGGUUUAUCGUGUGUUUGGCAAAAUGGUUUAUUGUAUUACUAGACUUUAGGCCAAGUGAAAGGUGAGUUGCCUAACUGUUUUCUUUUCUCCAUUCUAGGUAAGACCUCUACUUUCCAAUUUAAAGGCAAAAAACUGAUAGCCUGGGAUAAUGUCUUUAAUCAUGAGACAUAAAAUAUAAUUCUGUAGGCUGAAAAAAGUUCAAGAGGGAUUCUGCCCAGUUGAACAGAGUUAGGAUUAAGAUUAUUGAUGAUGAGAGGCAGCUCAAUGGCAGUAGAUGUCUCAAGAGGAUAAAUAAAUAUCCAGGUCAACUAUUUUCUAAAAAAUAGACUGAAUGUGUCAGCACUAACAAGUUUGACUGAAAACUUGCUUCAAUUUGCUUUGCAAAGCCCAUCAGUUUCUAUGAGAAGCACAAAUGCUCUCAACUCUUGCUGGUGGCCUCAGACACACAGAAAAUUGAUGAGUUCUUCAUAACUGUACUUUUAAUACUAACACUAUCUCAAAUCACACAUCCUGCUGCACAGAGUGGAAGACAAUACUUUUUACUUCCUUUAGAGUUAUUGUACUUUCUGCAUAUCUACUGUAUGUAAGAACUUUCCAGUUUUUCACUGGAAUUUAUUCAAUAAUACAGCAUUUAAGGAUGUACCUGCAAACCCUUGCAGUAACAGGAUGGUCCAACAUGCCUGGUAGACAGUCCCAUGGGACUCUGUCACAUGUAAAACUUGCUUUUAGAAAGAGCAGCAUGUAGCAAGUAUAUCCUUACUUUAUUCUAGGUUAGAGCUAAUAAGCUGUGCAAAGUAAUUUGACAGUUUUUGCUGAACUGUUCCAUGGUUUUUGUUUUGGUUUAUUGGGGUUUGGUUUAUUAGUCUAUUCCUGUAUUUGUUCUGUAGGAUGGUAAAGUGGGAUGGGUCCUCUCUGGAAUAUUGGUCCUUGCAGAACCAGGCUUAGUUGAAGGAUCUCACACAGUUUCUUUAGUAUCUAGAUCAUCUCCUCUACAGAGGGCUACACAUGGGAGAGAGCACUGGUACAGCUUUCUUUCUAAAUGCCAGGGAUAAAUACGAUUUUUCUGUAAAUCAAUAUAUACAGGGUAUACACCCCAUGUAACCUGGAACUUCUGCCCCUCCAUAAUAUUGCUGCUGCACACCUGGGGUUUCAUACCAUGUUACACUCCUCGGAUAAACUCCCUUCAAAACAAACCAUGUUCUGAAUUAAUGAAAAAAGAUGCAUUAAGAAAUUUCUGUAAACAUAUAUGAAGCCAAAAAUAUCUGAACAGCUUCUGUGUUUACUUGCAAAAAAAUCUCACCAUAUGGUUACUGAUCCUUUGUGCAGAAUGACAGGCCUUUUAAUCAGGUGACAUUUACUGGUUGCAGUGUAAAGUGUUGUUUUAUUUCUGGUUGUAUUUAAUGGAAAUUUCCCAUUCUAAUUUUCUUCAGUAAGAAUUCUCUUCAGGAAGAACCAGGUAGUUUGCUGUUUUCUGUUACUCUGAAGUUAGAUUGCCAAGGUUGUGUUGUAUGAACUAAAAAGCACUUGGCAAGAAAAUAACAGAGAUGCUACUUAACAUAAUUUAGGUAUUUUAAAGGAAGGAUUUGAAUGUGACUAUGUGGCACCAUUAAAGCUGAAAAAUAAUUCUCAAAAUAGACCUGACUUGGUCAAUUUAGUCAUUGUUUUAAUUGGCACAUCUGCUAGAUGUAAUCUGUGAUAUUCCAGUCAUUUAGGUAGGUGUGAUGGGGCCUGUGAGCUGCAAGUUGUUGUGCUGGGAUUCCAAAUUUCCCAGAAAAAGCAACACAGGAAGGGAAAACAGGGAGUUGGGCUUGUUGCUUUAGACUGAACCAGAGCUUCAUAAGCAUGAAAGUUAAGACAGGGUUUGUUCACUGGUAAAACUGAGGGAUGUUGAAUGAAUGUAUUACUGAAAAUCAGACUGAUAGCUAUUUUUCACAAGUUACUCUAAAGCAUGUGCUUUUCCUAGCAGAGUUUAAACCUAUUUUUUUGCUCAUCACAUUAAAGCUCAUGUUAUUCUACCUAAAAGAGGAAAAAAAAAAAGUACUUUUACCAGCUUGCCUAACCAUGGAUGAUAGGAAAAGGUCUUAAAAGGUUAGUGAGUGUAUCCAGUCUCAUAUCACAUAUACUAUAUAGAUCAUUGCAUUCACUAGUCUAUUAAUUUUCUACUUGGACUUCAAUCAGUGACCUCAAAUAUUUACAUGUUCGCUCUGCCUUUGAGGCAGAAAGUCUAAUCUUCACUGUUGCUUUGAUACAUUUAAAUAGAAGAAUUAUGGUGUGGUAUAUGAGACAUAGAUAAUCUCCACUCUAAACAGAACACUUGAUCUUCCCAUGCAUUUCUCUGGAAUAUUGGAGUAAAUUUUCAGUGACUGUUACUACACCAAACUUAAUCCUAAAGAAAAUUGCUUGAAUUUUACAAGUCAUUUUUUCCUCUGUGUGAUCAAUUCUGUACAGAUGUUGAUGCAGUGAGGAAGUGUUCGUAGGAAAAAGGGAAUAAUUAAUCCCAUACAGUAAUUAAUGUAUCUUCAAUAUUGCCAAUUGCUUGGAAAUACUGGAUGAUGUUAUUGGGUCUAGAUUUUCUACUUUAUAGUUGUAAAAAAGAUAUAGGUAUAUAUAAUAUAGAGGUAACUGAUAAAUGCCUUCUCAAAUCUAAAGCAGUAUGAUAAAUUUCACAACUCUUUCAAACAGGUUUGCUGUUAGUAAAACAGACUCUAUAGCAUACCCCUUGUUGUUCAAACCCUUCAUCAAUUAAUUUUAACUAUUUAAAUUGAAAUAUUUCUCAGUGAAGUACAUUGCUCUUCUUCAAAGGCACUUACUUCCUAAUAUAUUUGAUGACUGCUGUGAAAAUACAGUGCAUUUAACUGCUAUCAUGUGUAUGAAGUAUUAUAUAGAGCAGGGGGAUAUAUUUAAAAGGUGUUGUCUGUCAGCUAUUUAGAUCCCUAUUUACAGGUAGAUAGGCCUACCAGACACACCUAAAAUGUGAAUUUCUUUCUUCAAUACUAACCAAAACUAAUUGCUAUGUACAAUUUUAAUUUAAGUGGUGUUAAAAUAGGGAUCAGCCAAACCAUUUUUCAAGGAAAAAAAAGUUAUUUUUUUUCCUCUUCCUACACUCAGAAUCUGUUGACAAGCCACCCAAGCCUUGGUCUUAGAGCCACUUGCUUGUAACCAAUGCAUAAAUACUAUGAAACAUCCUCUGACAGUGGAAUUAGACACAUCAUUCAACAGUUAAACCGUGAUGUAGACAAUAAACUGUUGUGUCUCAUUCCAUUACCAAGAUGUCUGAGUGAGUGUUCAGGUUUUAGAUAAUCAUAAGUGCUGGAUUUUUAUAUUGCUGCAACAAAUUUUUUUAUUCUGCAGCUGUGAUGAAUCAAAUGAUGCAGCCUCAUCUGUAUGUCCAGACUGGGUUUUAGAAGCUAGUGGUUUAUGCAAUCAUUUUCUGUUUUGUUUAAUCUAGAUUGGCUACAUGGAUGUAGAAGAGCCCAGGUUCUGAGCACAGCCCUUUAAAGGUGCAAUAGUUAAAUUUUCAGGAUGUAGAAAUACACAAUACCAUUAAUUAAAGUAUUAAAACAAAGGCAACUAAACCUGGCAAAAGGAAAUGCAGUUUUGUACAGAGAAUGUAACUGCAAUAGAGAAAACAGACAUACAGCAUUCAAAUCAGAAAUGGAAGGUAUGGAUUUAUAACUAUCACUAAUAUCUCUCCAUAUAUAUAUAAAAUUUUAUCAGAGAUUUAUAACAGACUGUGAAUAACAAGAUUAAGAAAAUAAUACCUUGAAAAGAAAUAAAUUCAAGCCUUCACUGAAAUAUCAAGAAACUCUUCAGGAUAUGAUAGCUGAAAAUGCAUUCUUCCUUCAGAAAAUGGGGAUAAAACUAAGAAAAUGGAAGGAAGUUUUAUAGUAGAAUACAUUAGCCAGACUAGAAAGAUUGUCAGACAUUUUUCAGAAACUAAACAUGAAUUUUUACUUCAUCAGCAGUGGCCAGGAAAUUUUCCUGAUGUACUAGAAAACCAUCUGCAGAAACGAAUAUUUUAGGUAUACAAUAUGAUUUUUAAAAUUAAUUGUUGAACCCUAUUCCCAGGGAUGUGUGUGUGGGUGUGGUACAGUGGGAAGUAGAUUAAAAAGAGAAUCCUUUAUCCAUACAUAGCCCUGAUAAUUAUGGCUAAAUGCAGGAUUUACAGCUGAACAUAUUGUUUGGUUUUGUUUUGGCAGCAAAUCCAGAUGAUGGUGUAUUAUGUUGAUCUUCUGAUAGCUAGGAUUACCUAGCAUGCUGAGAUGAUCAUUCAGACAAAUCAAUUCUCAAUCUUAUCGAAAAGAGCACCUCAGGGGUCAAAAAAGUAAUCCUCUUUCUGGUCCUACAGUGAACUGCUCGCUCAGAACAGAGCUCAUUUCUCUGAAACAGCAAGCACUGACCACUGCCUGAGGCAGUCUUCUAGAUGAGCUGAGGAAUGCAGAACCCAAGAAGUGACUGGUGCAGUAAUGCAAAGAGGGGACCGGGAACAGAGCUCGGAUCUCCCAAAACUCAGCCGCUUCAUUUGAAAUGAUAACAAGUCUGAGCUGGCUGAAGUGAGAAUUCAAAACACUGGACAACCUUGCAAUGUUGGUAACUUGACUGCUGUGUUUUUCUAAUGGAGGAAUCACAUCAAAAGCACAUACACUCUACAAAUUCAACUGGAGCAGCAUGAUAGCAAACAGCAAGGUACUGUUUUGUGUUGCACUUGGCCAGAAAACUUUUCUUGAAAGCUACAGACAAUCCAUGGCUCGUUUCACCCACCCUGAGAAAGAAACAGACUCUGCACUGAGAGAACAUAAUACUAUGCUAGGAUGAAGAAGGACACCCAUUUGGUAAAACAGAAUUAACUAUUGACACUACUGAGUAACAUUCUUCUAGUCUGAAACCUAAAGCUAUUAAACAUGAAACCAUGGUAAAGUCU
Chiroxiphia lanceolata (lance-tailed manakin) is the source of this 4995-nucleotide long non-coding RNA. RefSeq lists it as uncharacterized. The record is from RefSeq and is a predicted model, not a curated record. The transcript is spliced from 5 exons. NCBI's taxonomy places the organism in Eukaryota, Metazoa, Chordata, Aves, Passeriformes, Pipridae.